GCAUGGAAAUCCCCUGAGUGAAACAACGAAUUGCUGUGUGUAGUCUUUGCCCAUCUCCCACGAUGGGCUUUUUUUUAU
Molecule: antisense RNA, 78 nt
Filed under: Enterobacter sp.
Lineage: Bacteria; Pseudomonadati; Pseudomonadota; Gammaproteobacteria; Enterobacterales; Enterobacteriaceae
Description: partial antisense sRNA RprA
Rfam family: RprA RNA
About the family: Translational regulation of the stationary phase sigma factor RpoS is mediated by the formation of a double-stranded RNA stem-loop structure in the upstream region of the rpoS messenger RNA, occluding the translation initiation site. Clones carrying rprA (RpoS regulator RNA A) increased the translation of RpoS.
Source: RNAcentral